This 502-nucleotide ribosomal RNA is filed under the name uncultured bacterium. RNAcentral describes it as "bacterial SSU rRNA". It matches the Rfam family "Bacterial small subunit ribosomal RNA", at positions 15 to 518 of the family's 1533-position model. The record is from RNAcentral.
GAUUCUGGCUCAGGAUGAACGCUGGCGGCGUGCCUAACACAUGCAAGUCGAGCGGUAUAUGUUAAACAAAUCUCGGAAGAGUGAGAGCAUAGAGAGCGGCGGACGGGUGAGUAACGCGUAGGCAACCUGCCCCAUACAGAGGGAUAGCCUCGGGAAACCGGGAUUAAAACCUCAUAACGCGAGAGAGUCACAUGGCUUUUUCGCCAAAGAUUUAUCGGUAUGGGAUGGGCCUGCGUCUGAUUAGCUAGUUGGUGGGGUAACGGCUCACCAAGGCAACGAUCAGUAGCCGACCUGAGAGGGUAAUCGGCCACAUUGGAACUGAGACACGGUCCAAACUCCUACGGGAGGCAGCAGUGGGGAAUAUUGCACAAUGGGCGAAAGCCUGAUGCAGCAACGCCGCGUGAGCGAUGAAGGCCUUUGGGUCGUAAAGCUCUGUCCUAGGGGAAGAAUAAAUGACGGUACCCUUGGAGGAAGCCCCGGCUAACUACGUGCCAGCCGCGGC